GAUCCUGGCUCAGGAUGAACGCUAGCUACAGGCUUAACACAUGCAAGUCGAGGGGCAGCAUGAACUUAGCUUGCUAAGUUUGAUGGCGACCGGCGCACGGGUGAGUAACACGUAUCCGACCUGCCGAUGACUCGGGGAUAGCCUUUCGAAAGAAAGAUUAAUACCCGAUGGCAUAGUUCUUCCGCAUGGUGGAACUAUUAAAGAAUUUCGGCCAUCGAUGGGGAUGCGUUCCAUUAGG
This 238-nucleotide ribosomal RNA is filed under the name uncultured bacterium. Its description in RNAcentral is "partial 16S ribosomal RNA". It matches the Rfam family "Bacterial small subunit ribosomal RNA", at positions 15 to 245 of the family's 1533-position model. The record is from RNAcentral.